GUAAAAGUCCUGGAAAAACUCCACACAAUGAAGUGUGGAGAAAUCCAGAAGGAUGCUAGAAUUCACCAAGUGCACACCCCUGAGGGCGGACUGGCUGCUUCCAGCAGAAAUCCAACUACGAGCUUUUUAACUGCAACAACUUUAAUAUACGCUAUUGGAGCUGGAAUUACCGCGGCUGCUGGCACCAGACUUGCCCUCCAAUUGUUACUCUGAAAGGGGUUUGGAUUCCUAUCAUUCCAAUCACUAGAAAUGAAAUUUCCAGUGUUGUUAUUUCUUGUCACUACCUCCCUGAAUCAGGAUUGGGUAAUUUGCGCGCCUGCUGCCUUCCUUAGAUGUGGUAGCCGUUUCUCAGGCUCCCUCUCCGGAAUCGAACCCUAAUUCCCCGUUACCCGUCACUGCCACGGUAGUCCAAUACAGUACCGUCGAAAGCUGAUAGGUCAGAAACUUGAAUGAUCCGUCGCAGACCGAAGUCAACGCGAUCCGUUCGGUUACUAUGAAUCACCUGAGGACCACCGGAAGGUGGGUUGGUUCUGUAUCUAAUAAACACUGCCCUUCCAGGGGAAGAGGCAUGUGCGCAUGUAUUAGCCAUAGAAUUACCACGGUUAUCCAUGUAGUAAAGACCAUCAAAUAAACUAUAACUGUUUUAAUGAGCCAUUCGCAGUUUAGCCGUAUAAAAGCUUAUACUUAGACAUGCAUGGCUUAAUCUUUAAGACAAGCAUAUGA
This 723-nucleotide ribosomal RNA is filed under the name Toxoplasma gondii ME49. RNAcentral's name for it is "Toxoplasma gondii rRNA TGME49_460670". Lineage: Eukaryota; Apicomplexa; Conoidasida; Eucoccidiorida; Sarcocystidae. The record is from RNAcentral.